AAGUCGUAACAAGGUAACCGUAGGUGAACCUGCGGUUGGAUCAUUAGUGGUUUUUACGUAGCGCUGUUGUAGUGUUUCUGGGGGGUUUUCUUUGGUUUUGUGUGUUUGUCUUUCUUUCUUUGUUUGUCUGUUUUUGUGCAUUGCCUUGUGCAUUGCCUUGUGCAUUGCCUUGUGCUGCCUUGUGCUGCCUUGUGCGGUGUCUUGUGCGUUGCCGUGGCAGUACAAACGGAUCGACGGCAACACUCGGACCAGACCCAAGAACCCUUGCAGACAAUAGACGUCUUUGCUUGCUUUGAUGAAACCAAAUCAAAAACAACUUUUGACAACGGAUCUCUUGGCUCUC
This 343-nucleotide unclassified non-coding RNA is filed under the name fungal sp. RNAcentral describes it as "partial internal transcribed spacer region". The stretch from base 1 to 46 matches the Rfam family "Eukaryotic small subunit ribosomal RNA", at positions 1786 to 1831 of the family's 1831-position model. The record is from RNAcentral. Lineage: Eukaryota; Fungi.